CGCAAUUCUGCCUUCAGUCCUGCGUGGGUCGGCGAGCCGCGGUCGGCUGGAGCAAGGAAUGGCACACAAUCUCAAAGACAAGAAACUUCUAGAAAAUGCAAGACCAGUUGUGUUGGUGGAUCCCUGUGUUAGUAUUUACAGUGCUCUGGGCCACCCCCAUUCAUGGAUGACUUUCAUCCCAACGUCAAAGUAGUGCAUCUGCCAUCGAAUACUGUGUCAUUCAUCCAACCUAUGGACCAGGGAGUUAUAGUGACUUUCAGGAAAUAUUAUUUACAUAAUACUUUUCGUCAGGCGGUAAAGGCAAGUGACGAAUCAGAAACAACCUUGCGACAAUUUUGGAAGGACUAUAACAUCUACAAGGCCAUAAAAACCAUUGAUUUUGCUUGGCGUGAGGUUAUGGCCGUCACCAUGAAUGGGGUUUGGAAGAACCUUUGUUCAUGAUUUUCGUGUAUUUGAGAAGGUGGAUGAGGAGUCCAAAGAGCUCUUCAGCAACUUAGUGACCCUCAGAGAGAAGGUGGAGCUAGAUCUGCAAGAGGACGACUUCAUUGAACUCCUGGCUGUGCAACAUGGAGAGCAUACUAGUGAAGAUCUGAUGGAAUUGGAGGCCCAGAGAAAGGACGAAGAGAGACAAGAGGAGGAAGAAGUAACUGAAGAACUGAAGAGAUUCAUGACGCAGGAAA
Delphinapterus leucas (beluga whale) is the source of this 680-nucleotide long non-coding RNA. RefSeq lists it as uncharacterized. The record is from RefSeq and is a predicted model, not a curated record. NCBI's taxonomy places the organism in Eukaryota, Metazoa, Chordata, Mammalia, Artiodactyla, Monodontidae.